This 301-nucleotide ribosomal RNA is filed under the name uncultured bacterium. RNAcentral describes it as "partial 16S ribosomal RNA". It matches the Rfam family "Bacterial small subunit ribosomal RNA", at positions 509 to 807 of the family's 1533-position model. The record is from RNAcentral.
CAGCCGCCGCGGUAAUACGAAGGGGGCUAGCGUUGCUCGGAAUGACUGGGCGUAAAGGGCGCGUAGGCGGAUUGCGCAGUCAGAUGUGAAAUUCCUGGGCUUAACCUGGGGGCUGCAUUUGAGACGCGUAGUCUAGAGUGUGAAAGAGGGUCGUGGAAUUCCCAGUGUAGGGGUGAAAUUCGUAGAUAUUGGGAAGAACACCGGUGGCGAAGGCGGCGACCUGGUUCAUGACUGACGCUGAGGCGCGAAAGCGUGGGGAGCAAACAGGAUUAGAUACCCGCGUAGUCCCUGUCUCUUAUAC